GACGAACGCUGGCGGCGUGCUUAACACAUGCAAGUCGAACGGAAAGUCCCUGCUUUUGUGGGGGGCUCGAGUGUCGAACGGGUGAGUAACACGUUAGUAACCUGCCCUUGACUUUGGGAUAACUUCAGGAAACUGGGGCUAAUACCGGAUAGGAGCUCCUGCGGCAUGGUGGGGGUUGGAAAGUUUCGGCGGUUGGGGAUGGACUCUCGGCUUAUGAGCUUGUUGGUGGGGGAGUGACUUACCAAGGCUUUGACGGGUAGCAGGCGGGAGAGGGUGACCGGCAACAUCAGGGGUGCUGUGACGCCGAGCAGACUCCGGGGGGAGGCAGCAGUGAAUAAUGCUCCAUGGGCGGCGAAAUCCUGAAGGAGCAACGCGUGGGGGAUGAAGGAGGUCCGCGUGUCGUGAGCUUCCGUUCGUGAAGAAGAGACAGUGACGGUAAUUGGUAAAGAAGCACCGGCUAACUCUGUG
RNAcentral lists this ribosomal RNA (468 nucleotides) under uncultured bacterium. RNAcentral describes it as "partial 16S ribosomal RNA". It matches the Rfam family "Bacterial small subunit ribosomal RNA", at positions 28 to 507 of the family's 1533-position model. The record is from RNAcentral.